This 253-nucleotide ribosomal RNA is filed under the name uncultured bacterium. RNAcentral's name for it is "partial 16S ribosomal RNA". It matches the Rfam family "Bacterial small subunit ribosomal RNA", at positions 524 to 776 of the family's 1533-position model. The record is from RNAcentral.
UACGAAGGGUGCAAGCGUUAAUCGGAAUUACUGGGCGUAAAGCGUGCGCAGGCGGCUUUGCAAGACAGAUGUGAAAUCCCCGGGCUCAACCUGGGAACUGCAUUUGUGACUGCAAGGCUAGAGUACGGUAGAGGGGGAUGGAAUUCCGCGUGUAGCAGUGAAAUGCGUAGAUAUGCGGAGGAACACCGAUGGCGAAGGCAAUCCCCUGGACCUGUACUGACGCUCAUGCACGAAAGCGUGGGGAGCAAACAGG